This 166-nucleotide small nuclear RNA is filed under the name Jaculus jaculus (lesser Egyptian jerboa). Its description in RNAcentral is "U2 spliceosomal RNA (ENSJJAG00000004812.1)". It matches the Rfam family "U2 spliceosomal RNA". From Rfam's summary of the family: U2 is a small nuclear RNA (snRNA) component of the spliceosome (involved in pre-mRNA splicing). Lineage: Eukaryota; Metazoa; Chordata; Mammalia; Rodentia; Dipodidae. The record is from Rfam by way of RNAcentral.
AUCACUUCUUGGCAUUUUGGCUAAGAUCAAAUGUAGUAUCUGUUCUUGUCAGUUUAAUAUCUGAUAAGUCCUCUAUCUGAGGAUAAAUAUAUUAAAUGGAUUUUUGGAACUCAGAGCUGGAAUAAAAACUUGCUCCGGAGACUUCUGGUCAAGAUGGCGACCACCU